UUUAGCCCUAAGGGUAAUUUUAGACGUAAGGGUAGUUUUAGCCCUAAGGGUAAUUUUAGACGUAAGGGUAGUUUUAGCCCUAAGGGUAAUUUUAGACGUAAGGGUAGUUUUAGCCCUAAGGGUGAUUAUGGCUUAGGUUUAGUCGUACGGGUAGUUGCGGCGUAGGUUUAUUCCUAAGUGUAAUUUUAUUCCCAAGGGUAGUUUUAGCCCUAAGGGUAUUUUAGUCCUGGGGGUAAUUACGGCGUAGGUUUAGUCGUACGGGUAAUUUUAGUAAAAGGGUAGUUUUAGCCCUAAGGGUAUUUUAGUCCUAGGGGUAGUUUUAGUCCUAAGGGUAAUUACGGCGUAGGUUUAGUCAUACGGGUAGUUUUAUUCCUAAAGGUAAUUGCAGGGUAGUUAUAGCCCUAAGGGUAAUUGCAGGGUAGUGUUAGCCCUAAGGGUAAUUGCAGGGUAGUUUUAUUCCUAAGGGUAAUUGCAGGGUAGUUUUAUUACUAAGGGUAAUUGCAGGGUAGUUAUAGCCCUAAGGGCAGCUACGGUGUAGUGAUUUACCAACACUUCGGAGGGAACUGUUGACGUUCCUGGUGUUUAUGUAAAUGUUGAAGGUAGACGUGAACAGAUCCUAGAUAAAUCGCCAGUCACUAGCUAGCUCAUCAUCCAUGUUUCUCGGUUGCCUAGCG
Molecule: long non-coding RNA, 674 nt
Organism: Ictalurus punctatus (channel catfish)
Lineage: Eukaryota; Metazoa; Chordata; Actinopteri; Siluriformes; Ictaluridae
Source: Ensembl